CACCGGCCCGCCCGGGCCCUAGUGGGUGGGCGCAGCCUCUGGCGCUUCUUCGGGAUCCCAGCUGACCAGCUGGGGGUGGGGCGUGGCGGAGUGGCCACGUGGGCCGCGCGGAGAACGCGCCAGGCUCAUCACCUGGAUCAUCGUGCCUCAGUUUCCCCCUCGGCAAAUGGGGCUUCAGCGGCUCGCGACGCACAUUGAUGGAGCGUAUGUCCAGGCGCCGGUGCACCGCAAGGAGCAAAACAGACACAGUUCUUGGUCCUAGGGCUCACGUCCCGGGGCGAAGAGGAUCCUCCAUAAACGAUCAGCCAUAGCAGCUGUGAUUGGACAAGAGACUGAUUUCAGUGACUUUCUCCUAAUAAGAGACCACCGACCAGCUGACCAUGCCGACCAGCUGACCCGUUAAUAGAGAGAGAUGAUGCACCUGCAUGCCUUUGUGUCCUGAAAAGACGUUUUGCCAUAAAGGCCCUAAUUGUAAGAUGUGUAAAUGUUAAGUCUCCACCCCAAAGUGAACAUGGGUCAUAUAUUACAUGCUUUGCUCAAUAAGAGGGCAUGUGUCAGGACCACCUUCAUGAAUAUUCAUAGCUCCUCCUGUUACCUGUUGAAUAUGUAUGUUUAGCCAAUCCCUUCAGCAUAGCGCUCCUGCCC
Molecule: long non-coding RNA, 645 nt
Filed under: Homo sapiens (human)
Lineage: Eukaryota; Metazoa; Chordata; Mammalia; Primates; Hominidae
Description: non-protein coding lnc-NADSYN1-1:4
Source: RNAcentral